GGGCGAUUAGCUCAGUUGGUAGAGCAGUUGACUUUUAAUCAAUUGGUCGCAGGUUCGAGUCCGGUAUCGCCCACCA
Molecule: transfer RNA, 76 nt
Filed under: Vibrio parahaemolyticus
Lineage: Bacteria; Pseudomonadati; Pseudomonadota; Gammaproteobacteria; Vibrionales; Vibrionaceae
Description: tRNA-Lys
Rfam family: tRNA
About the family: Transfer RNA (tRNA) molecules are approximately 80 nucleotides in length. Their secondary structure includes four short double-helical elements and three loops (D, anti-codon, and T loops).
Source: RNAcentral